Molecule: long non-coding RNA, 155 nt
Organism: Rana temporaria (common frog)
Lineage: Eukaryota; Metazoa; Chordata; Amphibia; Anura; Ranidae
Exons: 3
Source: RefSeq, a predicted model, not a curated record
AACUUCCUCCUCCGCGCCUUCUGUUCAGCUCCACCCACCUCCUCCUGUAUGUUCUGGAGUCCAGCCAGCAGCCAGAAGAAACAUCGGACUGUGAGACAGACUGCAGUGUACAGAUGAGAGAUGGUACAAACUAAGGCAACUGUCAUGUGAUGUGA